This 30-nucleotide non-coding RNA is filed under the name Rattus norvegicus (Norway rat). The record is from RNAcentral. Lineage: Eukaryota; Metazoa; Chordata; Mammalia; Rodentia; Muridae.
GUCACUCACUCAUUCAUUCAUUCCACAGAC